RNAcentral lists this long non-coding RNA (330 nucleotides) under Homo sapiens (human). RNAcentral describes it as "non-protein coding lnc-HMGCS2-1:1". The record is from RNAcentral. Lineage: Eukaryota; Metazoa; Chordata; Mammalia; Primates; Hominidae.
GGGGUAGGCUCUUUAUUAGACGGUUAUUGCUGUACUACAGGGUCAGAGUGCAGUGUAAGCAGUGUCAGAGGCCCGCGUUCAGCCCAAGAAUGUGGAUUUUCUCUCCCUAUUGAUCACAGUGGGUGGGUUUCUUCAGAAAAGCCCCAGAGGCAGGGACCAGUGAGCUCCAAGGUUAGAAGUGGAACUGGAAGGCUUCAGUCACAUGCUGCUUCCACGCUUCCAGGCUGGGCAGCAAGGAGGAGAUGCCCAUGACGUGCCAGGUCUCCCCAUCUGACACCAGUGAAGUCUGGUAGGACAGCAGCCGCACGCCUGCCUCUGCCAGGAGGCCUG